GGUUUCAUAGUGUAGCGAUUAGCACGUCUGCUUUACAUGCAGAAGGUCCUAGGUUCGUGCCCCAGUGGAGCCA
RNAcentral lists this transfer RNA (73 nucleotides) under Pteropus alecto (black flying fox). It matches the Rfam family "tRNA". Rfam says of the family: Transfer RNA (tRNA) molecules are approximately 80 nucleotides in length. Lineage: Eukaryota; Metazoa; Chordata; Mammalia; Chiroptera; Pteropodidae. The record is from Rfam by way of RNAcentral.